RNAcentral lists this ribosomal RNA (440 nucleotides) under uncultured bacterium. Its description in RNAcentral is "partial 16S ribosomal RNA". It matches the Rfam family "Bacterial small subunit ribosomal RNA", at positions 338 to 795 of the family's 1533-position model. The record is from RNAcentral.
CCUACGGGAGGCAGCAGUGGGGGAUAUUGCACAAUGGGGGAAACCCUGAUGCAGCGACGCCGCGUGGGUGAAGAAGCGCCUCGGCGCGUAAAGCCCUGUCAGCAGGGAAGACAAUGACGGUACCUGAAGAAGAAGCACCGGAUAACUAAGUGCCAGCAGCCGCGGUAAUACGGAGGGGGCAAGCGUUAUCCGGAUUUACUGGGUGUAAAGGGGGCGCAGACGGCGAUGCAAGCCAGGAGUGAAAGCGCGGGGCCCAACCCCGGGACUGCUUUUGGAGAUGCGUGGCGAGAGUGCAGGAGGGGCAGGCGGAAUUCCUGGUGUAGCGGUGAAAUGCGUAGAUAUCAGGAGGAACACCGGUGGCGAAGGCGGCCUGCUGGACUGCAACUGACGUUGAGGCCCGAAAGCGUGGGGAGCAAACAGGAUUAGAUACCCUAGUAGUC